GUUAGGAAGAGGAAGAAAGAGAGGGCUUAAGAGCAAUGGGGAUGAGAAUAUGGAGGAAAGCCUAAGUUACCAGGUCUUCACUUCUUGCGUUGAGGUGGAAAUCCCAUUUGGCAUUUCCCGAUGCCUCUCAUUCCUAUCAUUCUUAAGCGUCCCUUCCUCUUCCUUUUUGUU
Molecule: microRNA precursor, 171 nt
Filed under: Hordeum vulgare
Lineage: Eukaryota; Viridiplantae; Streptophyta; Magnoliopsida; Poales; Poaceae
Also listed under: 1 other name
Description: microRNA MIR2118
Rfam family: MIR2118 microRNA precursor family
Source: RNAcentral